This is a long non-coding RNA of Sitophilus oryzae (rice weevil), 1194 nucleotides long. RefSeq lists it as uncharacterized. NCBI's taxonomy places the organism in Eukaryota, Metazoa, Arthropoda, Insecta, Coleoptera, Curculionidae. The transcript has 6 exons. The record is from RefSeq and is a predicted model, not a curated record.
CAGAUGAUCACCUGCAUUCAGUGUAGAUUAUGACUGACCAGAAGCUCUGUCGAUACCACGGAUAUUCAAAAUUCAUCAUCAAAAUAUACAACUAUUCUUUUCUUACUUUUUGACAAAUCAAGCCCAAGCAGGGAAUACAGCAAUCCUUACAAAUUAAUGGAUACAGAUGACAACCUGGAUACAGUGAAGACUAUGACUGACCAGAAGCUCUGUCGAUACCACGGAUAUUCAAAAUUCAUCAUCAAAAUAUACAACUAUUCUUUUCUUACUUUUUAACAAAUCAAGCUCAAGCAAGAAAUACAGCAAUUAUUGGAAAUUACUGGAUACAGAUGAUCACCUGCAUACAGUGUAGACUAUGACUGACCAGAAGCUCUGCGAUAAUUCUAAUAUUUUCUCCGGGUUCGCGAAAUUAGGAGAUGAAAUUAUUCUUGGUCAUCUCCUCGUCAGUCACUAUUAUUUCAGGUUCAAGCCCAAUGAUGUAAGAUGUCGCUCACCAUUGCUAUAGAAUAUCAUGCUGUCGAUACCACGGAUAUACAGAAUGCAUCAUCAGAAUACACAACUAUUCUUUUGUUACUUUUUGACAAAUCAAGCCCAAGCAGGGAAUACAGCAAUCCUUACAAAUUAAUGGAUACAGAUGACAACCUGGAUACAGUGAAGACUAUGACUGACCAGAAGCUCUGUCGAUACCACGGAUAUUCAAAAUUCAUCAUCAAAAUAUACAACUAUUCUUUUCUUACUUUUUAACAAAUCAAGCUCAAGCAAGAAAUACAGCAAUUAUUGGAAAUUACUGGAUACAGAUGAUCACCUGCAUACAGUGUAGACUAUGACUGACCAGAAGCUCUGCGAUAAUUCUAAUAUUUUCUCCGGGUUCGCGAAAUUAGGAGAUGAAAUUAUUCUUGGUCAUCUCCUCGUCAGUCACUAUUAUUUCAGGUUCAAGCCCAAUGAUGUAAGAUGUCGCUCACCAUUGCUAUAGAAUAUCAUGCUGUCGAUACCACGGAUAUACAGAAUGCAUCAUCAGAAUACACAACUAUUCUUUUGUUACUUUUUGACAAAUCAAGCCCAAGCAGGGAAUACAGCAAUCCUUACAAAUUAAUGGAUACAGAUGACAACCUGGAUACAGUGAAGACUAUGACUGACCAGAAGCUCUGUCGAUACCACGGAUAUUCAAAAUUCAUCAUCAAAAUAUACAACUAU